ACCAUCUCGCCAACAAUGACACCAGUCUUCAGGCCCUCCAGGCACAGUGGGACGCUUUCUCCUUGCAGCAUCGUGACCAAUUCGCCCCACCCCCCGCCCCCACCUCCGGGACCACAGUGAGCUAUCCCUCUUCAUUUCUCUUUUUUUUUUUUUUUUGUUUUUGUUCUGUUUUUCCUUUUUAUUUAUGUCUGCCUUGUUUUCUUUUCGUUUUCUUGUGUUUGCUGUUAUUGCCCUGAGGACAGUGCUCGUUUUUGUGUGGGGAGGGGUGUGUGCUUGUUUUGAAAUGUAUGCUGUUGGGUUCUGGAUUGUUGGUUUUGGGCAAAUGGCCUCCUUGCGCUGAUUAAUUACUUGUCUUUGAGUUCACCCUUGGUCUUGACAUUGGUUUGCCAGUGAUUCUGGAACUGCAUUGGUUUUGGUUGUUGUCCUUGUUUGUCGCGAUUGACAUUUACCUAAGUAGUGUUAUGGGUUUAAUAUCUUAGAUGCAACAACUUGAUGAGCAACUCUUGACGUGAUUUGUCCGGUAGAUGCUAGGGGGAGUGUUUUCAUUGUAAUUGCCUAAUUUCUUAUCUCUUGUUGAAACGUGGUUUGUUUAUUGAGUUCUUGAUGGCUCUGGGUCUCUGCUCCUCUGAUGGUGACAUUAUGAGCAUGGGAAACCACGCGGGAACAUUUUGGUUUACCUCCAAAAAUUGCAAAUCUCGUGAAAUACGACCUAUUUG
RNAcentral lists this long non-coding RNA (716 nucleotides) under Salvia miltiorrhiza (redroot sage). Its description in RNAcentral is "long non-coding RNA (SMIL_LNC001432)". Lineage: Eukaryota; Viridiplantae; Streptophyta; Magnoliopsida; Lamiales; Lamiaceae. The record is from RNAcentral.